GACGAACGCUGGCGGCGUGCUUAACACAUGCAAGUCGAACGGAAAGGCCCUGCUUUUGUGGGGUGCUCGAGUGGCGAACGGGUGAGUAACACGUGAGUAACCUGCCCUUGACUUUGGGAUAACUUCAGGAAACUGGGGCUAAUACCGGAUAGGAGCUCCUGCUGCAUGGUGGGGGUUGGAAAGUUUCGGCGGUUGGGGAUGGACUCGCGGCUUAUCAGCUUGUUGGUGGGGUAGUGGCUUACCAAGGCUUUGACGGGUAGCCGGCCUGAGAGGGUGACCGGCCACAUUGGGACUGAGAUACGGCCAAGACCCCUACGGGGGGCAGCAGGGGGGAAUAGUGAAAAAGGGGGGGAAGCCUGAUGCAGCAACGCCGCGUGGGGGAGGACGGCCUUGGGGUGGUAACCCGCUUCCGCCUGUGACGAAGGGUGAGGGACGGUAAGGGGUAAAGAAGCCCGGGCUAACUACGUG
Molecule: ribosomal RNA, 468 nt
Filed under: uncultured bacterium
Lineage: Bacteria
Description: partial 16S ribosomal RNA
Rfam family: Bacterial small subunit ribosomal RNA
Source: RNAcentral